CGGAGGCUGGGGCGCGGUCGCUUUCGGGGCUGCGGCGCCAACCACAACGCCCCGAUUCCUCGAAGCGGGGCGCGUCCGCCUUAAUCGGGGUGCCAGGUGGGCAGUGGGGACCGCGUUACAUCAGCUACCACGUGUGGGCCUCUCAGCUGAAGAGAAGGCGGCGGUCCCGCCCCCACCCCCUGCCGUGGAAAAGUACCGGGGCGCCCAGCUUUCAGAUGAUUGAUCCCCUCUAACCCCUGGGAGUGGACUCCACAAAGGACUCCCCUUCUCCAUCGUCCCUGCCUCUCUGCCCUCCAGCUGGGGCCCUUGAGGGAAGCAGAUGUCGUCCCCUUCGGGCUAGGCUGGAAUGAAGCCAGAAGGCCUGGGGCACUUCGGGGGACUGGGGCUCCAGUUAGCCUGCCAGGCCCCCGGCCUUCUGCGCCUGCGUUCCCCCUAGAGAAGUCAGAGCAAAUUCCAUUCCCUCUGGAGCAGCGCCGCUAGGGACUGUGGGCACAGCUGGGGACUGCAGGCACAAACCUGGGCAGGCACAAACCUGGGCAGGCACAAACUCUUUCCUCCCUGCGGAGACAGAUCAGGGUUCCAAUAUCAGCUAAAGGAGACUGCCAAAGGAGCGUUGACUUCCAGGUCCUGAGGCUCAGGCCUCCCUGUGGGGAGCAGGGGGCUGACCCCCAGAGCCACCAGCAGCAGGCCUGAGGUUCCUCCCACGGCCUCUUGGACUGGGAAAUCAGGAACAGUGGUGGCUAUAAGUGGAGCAGCCAACACCAAAAAUAGCCAUCCACACUGGGGAGCAUCCUGUGACACCCCCUCUACCCAGCCCACCAAGCUUGGCCUACUGACCUGGAGACUGGUAGGACUCCUGUCUAACUCGACUUCCCCAAAUCCCAUUUUCUUCUAGCAACCCCACAGACACCUGGUGCCCUCUGGUGAAAAGUACCAUACGCGGCAGUUACCGCUGGCUCCCCAGGCUACAUCUGGCCAAGAUGAUGUUCACUUGUCUGGUUAUUUUAUGUCAUCCUCACAUCAAGUUUACAAGGUAGGCAUUAUUUUCAUUUUCUAGAACAAAGGCUCAGACAGGUUAAAUAAUUUGCCCAAUGUUACAGAACCAGUAAGUGGUAGAACUUGAACUUGAACCCAGGUUGGCCUUUCUUCAAAAUGCAUGCUCUCACCUUCAGAACACUAUGCACACAUAGACGCAUGGUGACCCAGUAGAGGUUUUAUGUGCCAUGCUGAUAGUUUGAGUGAAACUAUGAUCGGGUGUAUGGACAUUGAAGUCCUCCCACUCAGUUAUAAAACAGUGUGAAUUGGUUUUGAGCACAAUAAGAUUGAGUGUUUGGCUCCUGGGACUAGUGGAGCUUUGCUGUGGCUGUAUGAUUGCAUUGUGUGAGUGUAACUGUGAUUGGGCUUGUCUUUCUGUUGUGUGAAAUUAGUCUGUGUGUGAGUGUGUGUGAGCUGUGGAGGGGCGUGGUGUGGCUAGUGAGACUGUGUGGGGGAGGGUGACAGAGGGCCCCGAGUUCCCAGAACCACUUGCCUUUGCAGUCCCAGGACUGUGUCUGCUCACCCUGACACACAUGAUGGAUGACUUCACAUGCCUGACACACUCCCAUGGGCCUGCCUGGAUCUUAUUCCUCCCCUAGCCCCUGCCUUUAUUUAUUUAUUUAUUUAU
Molossus molossus (Pallas's mastiff bat) is the source of this 1663-nucleotide long non-coding RNA. RefSeq lists it as uncharacterized. The record is from RefSeq and is a predicted model, not a curated record. The transcript is spliced from 5 exons. NCBI's taxonomy places the organism in Eukaryota, Metazoa, Chordata, Mammalia, Chiroptera, Molossidae.